AGCUCCAAUAGCGUAUAUUAAAGUUGUUGCAGUUAAAAAGCUCGUAGUCUAACCCUUGGUCAUCCAGGAUUCUGCGUCCGAGGCCUAGCGUCUCGUGCAUGCAGCCUGGUGGCUAUUGUACUUCAGAGGAACAUGUGUGCUUUUCACUAAGUGCGCUUGGGAUUCUGAUAGUUUACUUUGAGAAAAAUAGAGUGUUCAAAGCAGGCGAUUUGCCUUGAAUACAUUAGCAUGGGAUAAUGAAAAAGGAUAUUGGUCCAUUUUCGAUGGUUUACGGACCGAUGUAAUGAUUAAUAGGGACAGUUGGGGACAUUCAUAUUCCAUGGCUAGAGGUGAAAUUCUUGGAUUCAUGGAAGAUGAACUACUGCGAAAGCAUUUGUCAAAGAUGUUUUCAUUGAUCAAG
This 400-nucleotide ribosomal RNA is filed under the name phytoplankton environmental sample. RNAcentral describes it as "partial small subunit ribosomal RNA". It matches the Rfam family "Eukaryotic small subunit ribosomal RNA", at positions 587 to 981 of the family's 1831-position model. The record is from RNAcentral.